Molecule: ribosomal RNA, 424 nt
Filed under: uncultured bacterium
Lineage: Bacteria
Description: partial 16S ribosomal RNA
Rfam family: Bacterial small subunit ribosomal RNA
Source: RNAcentral
GAAUAUUGGACAAUGGGCGAAAGCCUGAUCCAGCCAUGCCGCGUGUGUGAAGAGGGUCUUCGGAUUGUAAAGCACUUUAAGUUGGGAGGAAGGGCAGUAAGCGAAUACCUUGCUGUUUUUACGUUACCGCCCGAAUACGCACCGGCUAACUCUGUGCCAGCCGCCGCGGUCAUACAGAGGGGGCAAGCGUUAAGCGGAAUUACCGGGCGUAAAGCGCGCGUAGGUGGUUCGUGAAGUUGGAUGUGAAAUCCCCGGGCUCAACCUGGGAACUGCAUCCAAAACUGGCGAGCUAGAGUAGGGCAGAGGGUGGUGGAAUUUCCUGUGUAGCGGUGAAAUGCGUAGAUAUAGGAAGGAACACCAGUGGCGAAGGCGACCACCUGGGCUCAUACUGACACUGAGGUGCGAAAGCGUGGGGAGCAAACAG